Molecule: long non-coding RNA, 1771 nt
Filed under: Nicotiana tabacum (common tobacco)
Lineage: Eukaryota; Viridiplantae; Streptophyta; Magnoliopsida; Solanales; Solanaceae
Description: long non-coding RNA (NTAB_LNC016050)
Source: RNAcentral
UCUCUCAAGUUGCUUCUGCGUUCUUCAGGUAUUGACUCUUCUACUUCAUCGAUCUCUCUGUUAUAGUGCCAAUUCUCAUUCAUCUCUUUGUUUUUGUAUAACUUGCUGUGUCUUCUACAACUUAAUCACUGAUCUCUCUGUAACUCUGCUACUCAUUAUUGAAUUCUCUUCUAUUUUGUUUUUUGCUUUUAAUCACUAUGUGUGUGAGUGUGUGAGUGUGUGAGCGAGCGAGUGAGAGAGAAAUAUUCUCAUUUUUGGAGAUGAAUUUCGUGUCUCUGUGUGUGAGUGAGUAAGAGACGAUAAUUUGAUGAUUUCUCUGAUAGCUAUUUAUUAUUGAUUUCUCUUUUAUUUUGUUUUUUGCUUUUAAUCACGGUGUGAAUAUAUGUGUGAGCGAGCGAGUGAGCGAGAGAGAAAUAUUCUCGUUUUUUGAGUUGAAUUUCGUGUGUGUGUGAGAUUUUUGUGUACUCAUCAUUGAUUUCUCUGCUAGCUACUUCAUCAUUGAUUCUCUACUUUUUUGGGCUUUUAAUCACUGUGUGUGUGAGAAAAUGUGCGUACGUGUGUGAGCAAAAACGAAUUUGAUAAUAAACAUAGCUUAAUAGGAUGUGACGGGUUAUCAUAGCUUAAAAUACAUUUUUAAAUAUGUGCUUUGAUUUUAUAUUGAACAGGUUCAAGAUGAGUCGUUCCAUGUACGUGGCUGAAUUUGACGAGUAAGAUGUCUACCUACAAUUUGAUAUGCUUCUUUGUUUCAUUGGAGAAGGUUUCACUGAAGCUAUGAUUUGAUUUAUGGUGCCUAAUUUUAGCCUAACGAUUAUUUCUUGCUUUUUGUAAUGUAUGGGUUGAAUUCUUAUUUGGGAGAGUUGCCUGGGGGUUAUCAUGAGGUCAUUAAAGGAGAGUUACUUACUUGUGCUUGUAAGUAUUUCCUUUGACUAUGUAUUUACUUUUUGUUGACUUUUCCCCUACCUCUGCCACCUUUUGUUGUUUAACAGUUCGGAGAUCGUUUCAUAAUGUACCGUAUUGCAUUGUAUUAUAUUGUAGUGUAUCGUUUGAUGAAUACAAUGUUUAGAUAAAUUGUAUCAUUUGUUGUUGUUUCAUGAUAUUACGUACCAGUAAUAUCAUGACCUAAUGUGUCUUUGAGUUACUAGUCCCUAUUAUGAGUUUAAUUAGAGGAUUUAACUAGUCCGUUCUCGCUAAUGACCUAAUGUGUCUUUGAGUUACUUAUGAAGGCAUCUCUAAAAAAUUCCCAAGUGGAAAGCUUCAGUACUGACUUCAACUUCUGAGGCUAAAUUAGCGUUUGGCCGCUAAUGUGUCUUCGAACUUUGUUUGUUGCAGAAAUGGACAGGAGAGAAAAAUUUUCACACAACUUUAGCAGAGGCCUUGAACAAGGUGGUCAACGUCCAUGAAUCUGAGAUCUACUUGCUUGAAAUUGAUGAGCAAAUCUGAGAUCUACUUUAUAUGAAUAAAGUAGCAAAUGUUUGACCUACUAAAUAGUAGUUAUAUACAACUCAUUUUGUUGUGCUCAACAUUUCUACUAAUCAUAGUAUCAUAUUCCUACCAAAUACCUUCUUCCUUUAUCACUGCAAAGGCCUUGAGAUUAUGCUGAUAUAUACUCUAAGAAGAAGCUAAAUACAAUUUAAGACUGUAGAAAGGCAAUCAAACUCGUUUUGAAGUGGCUUAAACACAAAUUAUGGUCCUCCCAAGAUAAAUAUGGCGAAACAGUUCUUAAAGAGGUACAUCACAAGCAUUAACAAAUGGGCAGUCGAGUGCACUUAGC